This 256-nucleotide ribosomal RNA is filed under the name uncultured archaeon. RNAcentral's name for it is "partial 16S ribosomal RNA". It matches the Rfam family "Bacterial small subunit ribosomal RNA", at positions 521 to 776 of the family's 1533-position model. The record is from RNAcentral.
UAAUACAGAGGUGGCAAACGUUGUCCGGAUUUAUUGGGUGUAAAGGGCAUGUAGGCGGUCUUGUAAGUCAAAGGUGAAAUGGCCCGGCUUAACCAGGUCAUUGCCUUUGAAACUGCGGGGCUUGAGUACGGAAGAGGAAAGCGGAAUUCCCAGUGUAGCGGUGAAAUGCGUAGAUAUUGGGAGGAACACCGGUGGCGAAGGCGGCUUUCUGGUCCGAAACUGACGCUGAGAUGCGAAAGCCAGGGGAGCAAACGGG